AGCGAACGCUGGCGGCAGGCUUAACACAUGCAAGUCGAGCGGGCGUAGCAAUACGUCAGCGGCAGACGGGUGAGUAACGCGUGGGAACGUACCUUUUGGUUCGGAACAACACAGGGAAACUUGUGCUAAUACCGGAUAAGCCCUUACGGGGAAAGAUUUAUCGCCGAAAGAUCGGCCCGCGUCUGAUUAGCUAGUUGGUGAGGUAACGGCUCACCAAGGCGACGAUCAGUAGCUGGUCUGAGAGGAUGAUCAGCCACAUUGGGACUGAGACACGGCCCAAACUCCUACGGGAGGCAGCAGUGGGGAAUACUGGACAAUGGGCGCAAGCCUGAUCCAGCCAUGCCGCGUGAGUGAUGAAGGCCCUAGGGUUGUAAAGCUCUUUCGGUGGGAACGAAACGGUGGGGGUCAAUACCCUCCACUACUGACGGUACUCACAAAAGAAGCACCGGCUAACUACGUGCCAGCCGCCGCGGUAAG
RNAcentral lists this ribosomal RNA (477 nucleotides) under uncultured bacterium. RNAcentral's name for it is "bacterial SSU rRNA". It matches the Rfam family "Bacterial small subunit ribosomal RNA", at positions 29 to 524 of the family's 1533-position model. The record is from RNAcentral.